UAGGGAAUCUUCCACAAUGGACGCAAGUCUGAUGGAGCAACGCCGCGUGAGUGAAGAAGGUUUUCGGAUCGUAAAGCUCUGUUGUUGGUGAAGAAGGAUAGAGGCAGUAACUGGUCUUUAUUUGACGGUAAUCAACCAGAAAGUCACGGCUAACUACGUGCCAGCAGCCGCGGUAAUACGUAGGUGGCAAGCGUUGUCCGGAUUUAUUGGGCGUAAAGCGAGCGCAGGCGGCAUGAUAAGUCUGAUGUGAAAGCCAACGGCUCAACCGUGGAACUGCAUCGGAAACUGUCAUUCUUGAGUGCAGAAGAGGAGAGUGGAAUUCCAUGUGUAGCGGUGGAAUGCGUAGAUAUAUGGAAGAGCACCAGUGGCGAAGGAGGCUCUCUGGUCUGCAACUGACGCUGAGGCUCGAAAGCAUGGGUAGCGAACAGG
This 429-nucleotide ribosomal RNA is filed under the name bacterium. Its description in RNAcentral is "partial 16S ribosomal RNA". It matches the Rfam family "Bacterial small subunit ribosomal RNA", at positions 355 to 776 of the family's 1533-position model. The record is from RNAcentral.